CUCCAUCAACUUUCAGCAGCAGAUGCAGCUCUGGCAGGCGUGAGAUGGUCGAGCUCAGACACUGGUGGUGUAGAAUUGAUCUUCAUAUGUCGAGUUUGUACAACAACAUUCUUGUUAUUCUUCAGGAACUUCGACCAGCGCCCUCCAGAUUCGUUGCCAGAAAAUUGUUGGCCACAGGCUGCUGCAACUGUUAAACCACUUAUAUUUCUUACCAGCGUGUUGCCAAUUCUACAGCUGGACCCCUGCAUCCUUGAGUGCGACAGUCAAGGUAACAGAGGCCUCCUCGAGGGUUCUUGUCUUAUUCACGGUACUGAAUGCCUCUAUGAUGUCACCUUCCUCCCAUUCAUCGAAGUCAUCUACCCCAAUACCACACUCUAGCCCAGCACCAAC
This 390-nucleotide unclassified non-coding RNA is filed under the name Zea mays. RNAcentral describes it as "misc RNA Zm00001eb286630". The record is from RNAcentral. Lineage: Eukaryota; Viridiplantae; Streptophyta; Magnoliopsida; Poales; Poaceae.